RNAcentral lists this ribosomal RNA (449 nucleotides) under uncultured bacterium. RNAcentral's name for it is "partial 16S ribosomal RNA". It matches the Rfam family "Bacterial small subunit ribosomal RNA", at positions 29 to 523 of the family's 1533-position model. The record is from RNAcentral.
AACGAACGCUGGCGGCAUGCCUAACACAUGCAAGUCGAACGAGAUCUUCGGGUCUAGUGGCGCACGGGUGCGUAACGCGUGGGAAUCUGCCCUUUGGUUCGGAAUAACAGUUGGAAACGACUGCUAAUACCGGAUGAUGACGAAAGUCCAAAGAUUUAUCGCCAGAGGAUGAGCCCGCGUAGGAUUAGCUAGUUGGUGUGGUAAAGGCGCACCAAGGCGACGAUCCUUAGCUGGUCUGAGAGGAUGAUCAGCCACACUGGGACUGAGACACGGCCCAGACUCCUACGGGAGACAGCAGUGGGGAAUAUUGGACAAUGGGCGAAAGCCUGAUCCAGCAAUGCCGCGUGAGUGAUGAAGGCCUUAGGGUUGUAAAGCUCUUUUACCCGGGAUGAUAAUGACAGUACCGGGAGAAUAAGCUCCGGCUAACUCCAUGCCAGCCGCCGCGGUAA